GACAGAGUGCCCGAGUGGUUAAGGGGAGUGACUUGAAGCGCUAGGCCUUGAAUGUGAUUCGUCAGAUCGAGGGGUACCUAGCCAUAGAUAUCACUUGGCUUCGGCCUCGCAGGUUCGAAUCCUGUCUCUGUCG
Molecule: transfer RNA, 133 nt
Filed under: Metarhizium album ARSEF 1941
Lineage: Eukaryota; Fungi; Ascomycota; Sordariomycetes; Hypocreales; Clavicipitaceae
Rfam family: tRNA
About the family: Transfer RNA (tRNA) molecules are approximately 80 nucleotides in length. Their secondary structure includes four short double-helical elements and three loops (D, anti-codon, and T loops).
Source: Rfam by way of RNAcentral